Molecule: long non-coding RNA, 361 nt
Filed under: Sorghum bicolor (sorghum)
Lineage: Eukaryota; Viridiplantae; Streptophyta; Magnoliopsida; Poales; Poaceae
Description: long non-coding RNA (SBIC_LNC000023)
Source: RNAcentral
CCCAGUCGUAGCAGUAGAGCAGGUUGGCGAGGGUGAAGGUGACGUUGGUCUCGCCCAUGGUGAGUCCCGGGCAGAUCCGGCGGCCGGCCCCGAACGGUAUGAGCUCGAAGUGCGAGCCGUAGUAGUCGACGUCGCUCCCCACGAAGCGGUCCGGGUUGAACUCGUCGGGCGCCGGCCAGCUCGCCGGGUCCCUGCCGAUGGCCCAGGCGUUGACGAAGACGCGCGUGUUGGCCGGCACGUCGUAGCCGCAGAUGGUGGUGUCCCGCAUCGUCUCCCGGGGCACCAGCAGCGUCGCCGGCGGGUGCAGCCGCAGCGUCUCCUUGACCACCAUCUUCAGGUACGGGAUCUUGGCGGCGUCUUC